AACGAACGCUUGCUGCAUGCUUUAUACAUGCAAGUCGAACGGAGGCCCUAGCUUGCUAGGUGUCCUUAGUGGCGCACGGGUGAGUAACACGUGGGAACAUACCUCAUAGUACGGAAUAACUGCGGGAAACUGUAGCUAAUACCGUAUAUUCCAGCAAUGGGAAAGAUUUUAUCGCUAUGAGAUUGGCCCGCGCAAGAUUAGUUUGUUGGUAAGGUAAUGGCUUACCAAGGCUACGAUCUUUAGCUGGUUUGAGAGGAUGAUCAGCCACACUGGGACUGAGACACGGCCCAGACUCCUACGGGAGGCAGCAGUAGGGAAUAUUGGACAAUGGGGGAAACCCUGAUCCAGCAAUGCAGCGUGAGUGACGAAGGCCUUAGGGUUGUAAAACUCUUUCAUCGGUGAGGAUAAUGACAGUAGCCGAAGAAGAAGGACCGGCUAAUUCCGUG
This 446-nucleotide ribosomal RNA is filed under the name uncultured bacterium. Its description in RNAcentral is "bacterial SSU rRNA". It matches the Rfam family "Bacterial small subunit ribosomal RNA", at positions 29 to 507 of the family's 1533-position model. The record is from RNAcentral.